CUAGGAAUCUUGGGAAUGGGCGAAAGCCUGACCCAGCAACGCCGCGUGGGCGAUGAAGGCCUUAGGGUCGUAAAGCCCUUUUGCGGGGGACGAUGAUGACGGUACCCCGCGAAUAAGCCACGGCUAACUACGUGCCAGCAGCCGCGGUAAUACGUAGGUGGCAAGCGUUGUCCGGAUUUACUGGGCGUAAAGGGCGCGCAGGCGGUUUGUCUAGUCUAGGGUGAAAGCUCCCGGCUCAACUGGGAGAGGUCCUUGGAUACUGGCAGACUCGAGGGAGGCAGAGGAAAGUGGAAUUCCCGGUGUAGUGGUGAUAUGCGUAGAUAUCGGGAGGAACACCAGUGGCGAAGGCGGCUUUCUGGGCCUUACCUGACGCUGAGGCGCGAAAGCGUGGGGAGCGAACCGGAUUAGAUACCCGGGUAGUCCACGCCGUAAACGAUGGACACUAGGUGUGGGGGGUAUCGACCCCCUCCGUGCCGCAGCUAACGCAAUAAGUGUCCCGCCUGGGGAGUACGGCCGCAAGGC
RNAcentral lists this ribosomal RNA (522 nucleotides) under uncultured bacterium. RNAcentral's name for it is "bacterial SSU rRNA". It matches the Rfam family "Bacterial small subunit ribosomal RNA", at positions 355 to 894 of the family's 1533-position model. The record is from RNAcentral.